This 28-nucleotide non-coding RNA is filed under the name Cricetulus griseus (Chinese hamster). The record is from RNAcentral. Lineage: Eukaryota; Metazoa; Chordata; Mammalia; Rodentia; Cricetidae.
UUUUUAAAGUGUCUUGUAUUUAUCUCAG